Molecule: transfer RNA, 89 nt
Filed under: Alphaproteobacteria bacterium
Lineage: Bacteria; Pseudomonadati; Pseudomonadota; Alphaproteobacteria
Description: tRNA-Ser
Rfam family: tRNA
About the family: Transfer RNA (tRNA) molecules are approximately 80 nucleotides in length.
Source: RNAcentral
GGAGGCGUACCCAAGCGGCGAAGGGAGCGGUCUUGAACACCGCCAGGCGGCCGGGAGGCUGCGCGUGGGUUCGAGUCCCACCGCCUCCA